This 1001-nucleotide small RNA is filed under the name Pongo abelii (Sumatran orangutan). RNAcentral's name for it is "processed transcript". Lineage: Eukaryota; Metazoa; Chordata; Mammalia; Primates; Hominidae. The record is from RNAcentral.
AGAGCUGGAACUCUUGGCUAUCGGACUGGGUGGCACCGGGCGCAGGCCGCUGCCCUUGAAGCGCCGGCCUUGGCUGGAGCCCGUGGACCAGCGCCCACCCGGAAGCCGGGGCGGGAGCGGGCGGUUCCAUCGACCCUGAGGGUGGACCAAGGAGACUGAGGGUUCCACGUGUGGCAUCACAAUUACCUCCGCGGCGGCGAGGCCAGACAGGCAUUUCCAAGGAGACGCGGGCGCACUGCCCCUCCCUUGCUUCCUCCUCUUCCCUCCUUCCUCUCCUAGUUUCUUCCCUCCCUUCUCCUUCCCUCCCUUCCCGCCCUACUCCUUUCGGCUGCUCUGGUGCCCACCCCCAGUGCCUCGAGGACGAGGAGAGCUCCUCGGCCCCGCAGGACAGGGAAGAUUCUGUACAGAUGAGCAUAACCUGUGACUGCAAGGAGCCUGAGAAGUGCUGCUGGAAACACAAGCAGUGCACUGGGCACAUCAUCUACCCUUUCGCCUCUGACUGUGUCCGCCACAGCCUGCACCUACACUCUGUCAACCACUGCAACUGUAAUUCUAGCUUUGAAUUGGUGCUGCCAGCCCAGUCCCAGCUCUGCACACCUUGCUCUGCUCUAAGAGAAAUGGGGAGGAGGUCUGUUGGCGGCCUGAGGCAGGCCCAGCAGAAGCCCACUGUCCCUCAGGUUUCUGGCUCUGGGUCCCUGGGGGAGUGAUGGGAGCCAGGCUGAGAGUCCCAUGUGUGGCAGGCUGAAGGACUGUUCAGAGGAUAGCAGCAGCUCGCGGGGCGCGGGCCCAACCUGCUCCCAUGUCAUCGAGUCCCCUUGCUUUGAGCUCACACCGGAGGAGGAGCAUGUGGAGCGAUUCUGGUAUGGCUGGUGCAAAAGCUACAGACCUGUCUCUGUGGCAGUGAUCCACCAUCCCCUCUACCAUGAGUAUGGGGCAGAUGAUCUAAAUGAAGAAGAGGAAGAGGAGGAGGAGGAAAGCAAGCCCCCCAUCCCAACGCAGGU